GGCCCCGGCCCCAGCCCUUACAUGGACAAAUCUGCCUGCAGGGAAAGGCAGGAAUUUGGGCCCUUGACGUCAGCCGCGGGCAGAGCGCGGCAGCCCGGCAGAGCAGGAGGCAGCGGCCGCCGCUUUCGCUUUUAGUUUCGGGGCCGUCCCGCCGCGCUCCGGGCCGCCGGCCGCCCCUCCCUGCGCCCCAGCAGAGGGCUGGGAAAGAAACCCAAAGUCGUGAGUCUGGUGGAGCCCUGCGUGUUUCCAAACGCCCUGCUCUGAGUUCAUCCCMGCAGUGAGGCUGUGCAGCGUGAGAACUGAGUKCUUUGUAACUGGGUGUGUGCCUGAAUGCAUCAGCCUUUGGAGGUGAGCAUCCUCCCUUGAAACAGCCUCCUGAUACCCAAGUGCCUGCUCUCUCAAGCCGCAGAGGUCCCUUGGAAGAGCCUGUGUGUUCAUCUGACUGGGUGCCUGACAGGGCUGCCUUGC
Long non-coding RNA from Malurus melanocephalus (red-backed fairy wren), 468 nucleotides. RefSeq lists it as uncharacterized. The record is from RefSeq and is a predicted model, not a curated record. The transcript is spliced from 4 exons. NCBI's taxonomy places the organism in Eukaryota, Metazoa, Chordata, Aves, Passeriformes, Maluridae.